CCUACGGGAGGCAGCAGUGGGGAAUAUUGCACAAUGGGGGAAACCCUGAUGCAGCGACGCCGCGUGAGUGAAGAAGUAAUUCGUUAUGUAAAGCUCUAUCAGCAGGGAAGAAAAUGACGGUACCUGAGUAAGCAGCCCCGGCUAACUAGGUGCCAGCAGCCGCGGUAAUAAGUAGGGGGCAGGCGUUAUCCGGAUUUACUGGGUGUAAAGGGAGCGUAGACGGCAGUGCAAGUCUGGAGUGAAAGGCGGGGGCUCAACCCCCGGACUGCUCUGGAAACUGUACGGCUGGAGUGCAGGAGAGGCAAGUGGAAUUCCUAGUGUAGCGGUGAAAUGCGGAGAUAUUAGGAGGAACACCAGUGGCGAAGGCGGCUUACUGGACUGUAACUGACGUUGAGGCUCGAAAGCGUGGGGAGCAAACAGGAUUAGAUACCCCAGUAGUC
Molecule: ribosomal RNA, 440 nt
Filed under: uncultured bacterium
Lineage: Bacteria
Description: partial 16S ribosomal RNA
Rfam family: Bacterial small subunit ribosomal RNA
Source: RNAcentral